CAAGGACAAUCGCUGCAGAGGAAUCUGUCAGGGAAUUACUUCAGAUGGAGUUUGGAAACUUAAGACAUUCCCAUCUCAGAUUGGAGACUUCAGGGCUCAGUUUCACCGCACCCAUGGCAUCUGUUGAGAAUGGAAGGAACUUACAAAGUCUCUGCCAAUCUCCACAUUUGAGAUGAAGAUAUAUCCCCCAAUCCUUAAGGACUUGAGUUACACAAGAUGGGACGCCCAGGUGAUGCUCUACUCAUAAACUAUUUCCACAAGGCAUGAUAGGAUAAGAACACAGGCUUCAAACUUAUGCUGUGCUGAACUACUUGUGGCUGUACCAUGUGCCUCUGGUGAAUCCAGGAGCAUCUGCUAAGUGCCUGUCAAGAAGAAGGUCCCAGAUGCAUCACCAAGGACCAGGACUUGGGUCAUCGGUACACUCACGACAGUCUUGGCAGCACACACAAGGAAACUUAACAUGCCUUAGAACCUGACCCCCCAAGAGGAUGAGGCUUGAAGCUGAACGUAAUACUGACAGAGCAAAGCAGAACUCCACACAGCUGUCUUUUCUGGCCAGUCUACGAACUCUGACUGAGCAGGUCCUGUGCUGUUGUGAGCACAGGAAACCCAUGAAGACAAGCUGUCUUCCCUGAGGAACUCAAAGUCAUUUAUUGUUCAACUGACACAGAACACAUUUACCCUUUCAAUAAAGCACAGAAUGUUGAUUCUAAACUCUCAUAAAAGAACUGGUCACCACUUCCUCUUGCCUAGAGUUCUAAGAUGUCUUACUCAAUGAAGAAAACCACUGAUGGCUACCAGAGGCUUCUCCAGUGAGAAUUCUCUUGAAGAGGAGUGCUGGUUAUCUCAGAAAAAGACGUGAUAUAAAUAAACAUAAAACAAAAUUGAGGUGCUGGGAUACAACUAUAAAUUGCUCUGCUUGACUCUCUUCCCAUCAUCCAAUGAAGAGGAAGCUUUGUAAGGCUUACACAUGAAUACACUGAUCCAUAUCCAGAUGAGCCGGGGCCUCCAUCCUUUUGUGUCGAGCACAAAGAAGAAGGCGAAUGCAGCAGAGACAGAGACAAAGGAACGGCCCAUGUAACCAAGCGCUGAACAUGAUUUAAACAGCCAACUUAGUAAACAUCAAUUCUCAGGAUGUGUUCUGUGAAUUGGAGUCAACCUCCAAAGGAAAUGCAGGCUUACACUGAAAGGAUUGCUUCUGCUAAAGACAAAGCCAAGCUGCAUCUCCAUGCGGUAAGUCAUCUCCCUGAAAGAUGCUGACAAGACAAAAGCCUCAGAGUGAAAAGGUGAAACUGGCUCAUUUGAAAAAGGAAAAAAGGAACCGCAUUAGAGCUUCUUUGUUUAACACCCUGGUACCCAUGUUUUGUAUUGUCAGAGGUCAGUGUGGCUUUGAGAAGAGAGAGGGUUUAGAAAUGGAGAGAAUGUGCGGCUUGCUGUGUGACUUUCUAUGAAAAACUUUACAUCUCUGGACAUCAGUUUCCAUCCUGGUCAUGUAAGAGGGUUGGAGCAAACGCUGUGUUUUCCACAUUGCUGUGACCAAGCUCCCUCUUCAGAUUCAUGCAUGAGUGAGAGACUUAA
Grammomys surdaster is the source of this 1578-nucleotide long non-coding RNA. RefSeq lists it as uncharacterized. The transcript has 6 exons. Lineage: Eukaryota; Metazoa; Chordata; Mammalia; Rodentia; Muridae. The record is from RefSeq and is a predicted model, not a curated record.